UACGGGGGGAGCAAGCGUUGUUCGGAUUUACUGGGCGUAAAGGGCGCGUAGGCGGCCACCGCAAGUCGACUGUGAAAUCUCCGGGCUUAACCCGGAAAGGUCAGCCGAUACUGCGGGGCUAGAGUGCAGAAGGGGCAACUGGAAUUCUCGGUGUAGCGGUGGAAAUGCGUAGAUAUCGAGAGGAACACCUGCGGCGAAGGCGGGCUACUGGGCGUGAUAC
This 220-nucleotide ribosomal RNA is filed under the name uncultured bacterium. RNAcentral describes it as "partial 16S ribosomal RNA". It matches the Rfam family "Bacterial small subunit ribosomal RNA", at positions 524 to 740 of the family's 1533-position model. The record is from RNAcentral.